UUUUUAUUAAGACAAUGAAUUUUACUUUUUAGUAAGAAGGCUAAAAUGACUCUUAAAGACGAGAAGACCCUAUAAAACUUUCAUAUUAUAAGAAGGUUAAAUAUUUUUAUAAUAUUAUGCUGGGGCGGCAGGAAAAUUUGACUUUUCUUGAAAAGAGAAAGAAAAAGCUUAUAAUAACCAAAAGUUUUGAAAAAGAAAUAAGUUACUUUAGGGAUAACAGCUUAAUUUGUUUUGAUAGUUCUAAUUGACAAAUGAGAUUAUGACCUCGAUGUUGAAUUAAGAAACCUU
Molecule: ribosomal RNA, 288 nt
Filed under: Hottentotta sp. Sc.7
Lineage: Eukaryota; Metazoa; Arthropoda; Arachnida; Scorpiones; Buthidae
Description: partial 16S ribosomal RNA
Source: RNAcentral